This 434-nucleotide ribosomal RNA is filed under the name uncultured bacterium. RNAcentral's name for it is "bacterial SSU rRNA". It matches the Rfam family "Bacterial small subunit ribosomal RNA", at positions 958 to 1393 of the family's 1533-position model. The record is from RNAcentral.
AACGCGAAGAACCUUACCCAGGCUUGAGAUAUAGUAGACAGUACCAGAGAUGGUAUCUUCCUUCGGGACUGCUAUACAGGUGCUGCAUGGCUGUCGUCAGCUCGUGCCGUGAGGUGUUGGGUUAAGUCCCGCAACGAGCGCAACCCUUAUCAUUAGUUGCCAACACGUAAAGGUGGGAACUCUAAUGAGACUGCCCGGGUUAACCGGGAGGAAGGUGAGGAUGACGUCAAGUCCGCAUGGCCCUUAUGCUUGGGGCUACACACGUGCUACAAUGGUCGGUACAGAAGGUAGCGAGACCGAGAGGUGGAGCAAAUCCGAAAAGCCGAUCCCAGUUCAGAUUGUAGUCUGCAACUCGACUACAUGAAGAUGGAAUUGCUAGUAAUGGCGAGUCAGCAACAUCGCCGUGAAUACGUUCCCGGGUCUUGUACACACGC